AGAGUUUGAUCCUGGCUCAGAAUCAACGCUGGCGGCGCGCUUAACACAUGCAAGUCGAACGAGAAAGGGGAGCAAUCCCUGAGUACAGUGGCGUACGGGUGAGUAACACGUGGAUGAUCUACCCCUUAGUGAGGAAUAGCGCUGGGAAACCGGCGCUAAUACCGCAUAAGCUCGAGAGAGGAAAGCAGCAAUGCGCUGAGGGAGGAGUCCGCGGCCGAUUAGCUAGUUGGCAGGGUAAAAGCCUACCAAGGCAGAGAUCGGUAGCCGGCCUGAGAGGGCACACGGCCACACUGGCACUGAAACACGGGCCAGACUCCUACGGGAGGCAGCAGUGGGGAAUCUUGCACAAUGGGGGCAACCCUGAUGCAGCGACGCCGCGUGAGCGAUGAAGCCCUUCGGGGUGUAAAGCUCUUUCGGCAGGGAAGAUAAUGACGGUACCUGCAGAAGCAGCUGCGGCUAACUACGUGCCAGCAGCCGCGGUAAUACGUAGGCAGCGAGCGUUGUUCGGAGUUACUGGGCGUAAAGGGUGUGUAGGCGGUUGUUUAAGUUUGGUGUGAAAUCUCCCGGCUCAACUGGGAGGGUGCGCCGAAUACUGAAUGACUAGAGUGCGGGAGAGGAAAGUGGAAUUCCUGGUGUAGCGGUGAAAUGCGUAGAUAUCAGGAGGAACACCGGUGGUGUAGACGGCUUUCUGGACCGUAACUGACGCUGAGACACGAAAGCGUAGUAGCAAACAGGAUUAGAUACCCUGGUAGUCC
Molecule: ribosomal RNA, 755 nt
Filed under: uncultured bacterium
Lineage: Bacteria
Description: bacterial SSU rRNA
Rfam family: Bacterial small subunit ribosomal RNA
Source: RNAcentral